RNAcentral lists this ribosomal RNA (265 nucleotides) under uncultured archaeon. RNAcentral describes it as "partial 16S ribosomal RNA". It matches the Rfam family "Archaeal small subunit ribosomal RNA", at positions 717 to 982 of the family's 1478-position model. The record is from RNAcentral.
ACACGUCUACAUUAGAUACCCCUGUAGUCCCAGCCGUAAACAAUGUGCGUUAGGUAUGUCGGUAACCACGUGUUACUGAUGUGCCGAAGGGAAACCGUGAAACGUGCCGCCUGGGAAGUACGGUCGCAAGGCUGAAACUUAAAGGAAUUGGCGGGGGAGCACCACAACAGGUGGAGCCUGCGGUUUAAUUGGACUCAACGCCGGACAACUCACCGGGAACGACAGCAAUAUGUAGGCCAGGCUGAAGACCUUGCCUGAAUCGCUG